UUCCAGCUCCAAUAGCGUAUAUUAAAGUUGUUGCAGUUAAAAAGCUCGUAGUUGAACUUCAGACCUGGCUGGGUGGUCCGCUUAACGGCGUGUACUGCUUGGCUGGGCCUUACUUCUUGGUGAGCCGGCGUGCCCUUUAUUGGUGUGCGUCGGGGAACCAGGACUUUUACCUUGAGAAAAUUAGAGUGUUCAAAGCAGGCCUAUGCCUGAAUACAUUAGCAUGGAAUAAUAGAAUAGGACGUGCGGUUCUAUUUUGUUGGUUUCUAGAGUCGCAGUAAUGAUUAAUAGGGACAGAUGGGGGCAUUCGUAUUGCGACGUUAGAGGUGAAAUUCUUGGAUCGUCGCAAGACGGACAGAAGCGAAAGCAUUUGCCAAAAAUGUUUUCAUUAAUCAAGAACGAAAGUUAGGGGUUCGAAGGCGAUCAGAUACCGCCCUAGUUCUAACCAUAAACGAUGCCAGCUAGCGAUCCGCCGAAGUUCCUCCGAUGACUCGGCGGGCAGCUUCCGGGAAACCAAAGCUUUUGGGUUCCGGGGGAAGUAUGGUUGCAAAGCUGAAACUUAAAGGAAUUGACGGAAGGGCACCACCAGGAGUGGAGCCUGCGGCUUAAUUUGACUCAACACGGGAAACCUCACCAGGCCCAGACACCGGAAGGAUUGACAGAUUGAUAGCUCUUUCUUGAUUCGGUGGGUGGUGGUGCAUGGCCGUUCUUAGUUGGUGGAGCGAUUUGUCUGGUUAAUUCCGAUAACGAACGAGACUCUAGCCUGCUAAAUAGGCGUACCUUAUGGUAUCGCGAAGGCCCCCGGCUUCGGCCGGUGGGUUUUUACUACCAACG
RNAcentral lists this ribosomal RNA (831 nucleotides) under uncultured eukaryote. RNAcentral's name for it is "bacterial SSU rRNA". It matches the Rfam family "Eukaryotic small subunit ribosomal RNA", at positions 583 to 1395 of the family's 1831-position model. The record is from RNAcentral.